GCCUCUGAGCAAGUUGAGCGAGGAGGGACAGAGAAGUGUGCUGGAUGAAACCACGUGAGGACUUGUGGAUCUCACGUUGAGGUGCAUCGAGAGGGCCCACCCUUCUAUUUGGUUAUUGACGUAGAAGGGACAUGUCUGGCCUGACUGCAACACCCAUGCUUGCAGUGUGGGACAGUUCUCAUAAAGGUGAUUCAGGGUAGUUUCUGGAAACGAAGACAUCAGAUGGCAAAGGUCUAGCAGCAGAAUGUCUUUGAAACAGCUGUGCCUAUGACCAAGUUCAUGCAUCGUGGUAGACAAGAUGCUUCUCUGUCCAUCGCUCUGACCUGCCAACUCUGGUGCAAGUGUGCAGUUGUGGCGAGAGGGAUUUCCUAGUCCUGAUUUGACCUGGUGGACACCAACUUUCCUAGUCAAUUGCCGAUGUUGCUGAGGAGGCAGCAGUAUCAAAGCCCUUGUUGAUGAAGAUAGAACAAGUUUGGGGAGGCUUUGGCAUUUCUGCACAA
Non-coding RNA from Anas platyrhynchos (mallard), 500 nucleotides. NCBI's taxonomy places the organism in Eukaryota, Metazoa, Chordata, Aves, Anseriformes, Anatidae. The record is from RefSeq and is a predicted model, not a curated record.